GAUUGCCGGGCUUCGGUCUUGCCUUCUGCCCUUCCCUUACUGAUUUUACCCAUGUCUUUUGCGUACUAUUUGUUUCCUUGGUGGGCUUGCCUGCCGAUAGGACAUCAUUAAACCUUUUGUAAUUGCAGUCAGCGUCAGAAAAACAUAAUAAUUACAACUUUCAACAACGGAUCUCUUGGUUCUGGCAUCGAUGAAGAACGCAGCGAAAUGCGAUAAGUAGUGUGAAUUGCAGAAUUCAGUGAAUCAUCGAAUCUUUGAACGCACAUUGCGCCCCUUGGUAUUCCAUGGGGCAUGCCUGUUCGAGCGUCAUUUGUACCCUCAAGCUCUGCUUGGUGUUGGGUGUUUGUCCCGCUUUUCGCGUGGACUCGCCUUAAAACAAUUGGCAGCCGGCAUAUUGGCCUGGAGCGCAGCACAAUUUGCGCCUCUUGUCAUGAUUGUUGGCAUCCAUCAAGACCAUUUUUUGCUCUUGACCUCGGAUCAGGUAGGGAUACCCGCUGAACUUAAGCAUAUCAAUAA
RNAcentral lists this ribosomal RNA (516 nucleotides) under Leptosphaeria sp. CJL-2014. Its description in RNAcentral is "eukaryotic LSU rRNA". The stretch from base 156 to 309 matches the Rfam family "5.8S ribosomal RNA". Lineage: Eukaryota; Fungi; Ascomycota; Dothideomycetes; Pleosporales; Leptosphaeriaceae. The record is from RNAcentral.